This 418-nucleotide unclassified non-coding RNA is filed under the name Hevea brasiliensis (rubber tree). The record is from RNAcentral. Lineage: Eukaryota; Viridiplantae; Streptophyta; Magnoliopsida; Malpighiales; Euphorbiaceae.
CUCACUUAGCUUGUAAUUUAGCACGGAAACUUAACAUGGGAAAGGGUCUCCGUCUAGUGUAGGGAGACGAGAAGAGAAGGGCAGCUUCCAUCUUUGUUUGGUUCUUUCUUUGGCUUGAAUAAAAAUCCGUCCCCUUUUCUUUUCAUUUCGCGAUUCUUAGCAUAAUACUAAUCUGCCGAUUCACAAUCAGCCAAAGCGACUUUUCUCUCUUCUUCUUUUCAAAUUCGUAUCCAAUUCACGCGUUAUUCUCUUCCCAUUUCGGCCCUUCUUUCUCCAUCCCUGAUCCGUAGGCUUUUUACUUGAUCUCCCUUCUCUAUACCCUUUUGAUCGCUUCUGUUUCUUGGGUAUUUUUUUUUUUGCUGGGUUUCAAAUUUUAGAAUCAAAGAGGGAAAUUAUUUGCAACUUUUGGACUGAUUGU